UGGGGAAUAUUGCACAAUGGGCGAAAGCCUGAUGCAGCGACGCCGCGUGAGGGAUGACGGCCUUCGGGUUGUAAACCUCUUUCAGUAGGGACGAAGCGCAAGUGACGGUACCUGCAGAAGAAGCACCGGCUAACUACGUGCCAGCAGCCGCGGUAAUACGUAGGGUGCGAGCGUUGUCCGGAAUUACUGGGCGUAAAGAGCUCGUAGGCGGUUUGUCACGUCGUCUGUGAAAUCCUAGGGCUUAACCCUGGACGUGCAGUCGAUACGGGCUGACUUGAGUACUACAGGGGAGACUGGAAUUUCUGGUGUAGCGGUGGAAUGCACAGAUAUCAGGAAGAACACCGGUGGCGAAGGCAGGUCUCUGGGUAGUAACUGACGCUGAGGAGCGAAAGCAUGGGUAGCGAACAGG
RNAcentral lists this ribosomal RNA (409 nucleotides) under bacterium. RNAcentral's name for it is "partial 16S ribosomal RNA". It matches the Rfam family "Bacterial small subunit ribosomal RNA", at positions 355 to 776 of the family's 1533-position model. The record is from RNAcentral.